GAUGAACGCUGGCGGCGUGCCUAAUACAUGCAAGUCGAGCGAACAGAUGAGGAGCUUGCUCCUCUGACGUUAGCGGCGGACGGGUGAGUAACACGUGGAUAACCUACCUAUAAGACUGGGAUAACUUCGGGAAACCGGAGCUAAUACCGGAUAAUAUAUUGAACCGCAUGGUUCAAUAGUGAAAGACGGUUUUGCUGUCACUUAUAGAUGGAUCCGCGCCGCAUUAGCUAGUUGGUAAGGUAACGGCUUACCAAGGCAACGAUGCGUAGCCGACCUGAGAGGGUGAUCGGCCACACUGGAACUGAGACACGGUCCAGACUCCUACGGGAGGCAGCAGUAGGGAAUCUUCCGCAAUGGGCGAAAGCCUGACGGAGCAACGCCGCGUGAGUGAUGAAGGUCUUCGGAUCGUAAAACUCUGUUAUUAGAGAAGAACAAAUGUGUAAGUAACUAUGCACGUCUUGACGGAACCUAAUCAGAAAGCCACGGCUAACUACGUG
Molecule: ribosomal RNA, 497 nt
Filed under: uncultured bacterium
Lineage: Bacteria
Description: partial 16S ribosomal RNA
Rfam family: Bacterial small subunit ribosomal RNA
Source: RNAcentral